CGGACGGGUGAGGAAUACAUCGGAAUCUACUCUGUCGUGGGGGAUAACGUAGGGAAACUUACGCUAAUACCGCAUACGACCUACGGGUGAAAGCAGGGGAUCUUCGGACCUUGCGCGAUUGAAUGAGCCGAUGUCGGAUUAGCUAGUUGGUGAGGUAAUGGCUCACCAAGGCGACGAUCCGUAACUGGUCUGAGAGGAUGAUCAGUCACACUGGAACUGAGACACGGUCCAGACUCCUACGGGAGGCAGCAGUC
Molecule: ribosomal RNA, 254 nt
Filed under: uncultured Stenotrophomonas sp.
Lineage: Bacteria; Pseudomonadati; Pseudomonadota; Gammaproteobacteria; Lysobacterales; Lysobacteraceae
Description: partial 16S ribosomal RNA
Rfam family: Bacterial small subunit ribosomal RNA
Source: RNAcentral